UUCCAUUUCGAGCAACUUGACAGCAAAGGAGGGAGGAGGGGGGAAAAAAGUGACGUUGCAGGAUAAACAAACGGAGGAGAGGCAGCUCGGACUGAGUCAGUCGAGGCUGCCUGUGUCCUGUAACAUUUUGUAUUAAUUAUUUGGCAUAAUGCAGUCUUCCAAGCGGAGCGAGAGUGACUGGCAGGGGCUCGUCAGCGAGUUCCUGGUGUGUAAGCGCAAGCUGGAGAGUAAGAAAGAGGCUCUGCUCAUUCUGUCCAAAGAGCUGGAUACCUGUCAGCAGGAGAGAGACCAGUACAAGCUGAUGGCCAACCAGCUGAGGGAACGCCACCAGGGACUCAAGAAAAAGUACAGGGAACUCAUUGAUGGUGACCCGUCUUUGCCGCCGGAAAGACGCAAUCAAGUGAACCUGGCUCAACUGUUGAGAGACUCGAGAGAACGUGUGAAACAGCUCACAGAGGAGGUGAAGGAGCUGACUCAGAGGCUCACGGAGGCCCAGGGGGAUAACAAGCUCCUGAGGAUGACCAUAACUCGACAGAGGCUGGGGGAUGAGGAGGUGGGGGCACGACAUUUCCCCGCCCAUGAACGGGAAGAUCUAGUUCACCAGCUGGAAAGAGCCGGGCUACAGAUGGAGGAGAUGGAGAACAACAUUAAAGCUCUGACAGACGAGCUGCAGGACGUGAAGGGGGAGCGGAGUGCGUUCAGGGAGAAGGCCUACCGACUCAACGUGGAGCUCAACCACGUCUUGGGCAACCGGGAGGCGCGCAUCAUUGAUGUCGAUGCCCUCUGCAUGGAGAAUAGGUAUUUGCAUGACCGUUUCGGCCAACUACAAGAGGAGGUGAACCUGCUGAAAUCUAACAUCAUGAAGUACAAGACAGCUCUCGAGAGGAGGAAAAACUCCAGCACAUAUGGGAAAUCAAACAGCAGUCCCCUCACUGGAGUCCUCUCAGCCAAGCAAGUCCAGGAGAUGCUCCUGGAAGAGCAGGGCUGCAGCCUGCCAGCCACGCCUCAGUCCAUCUCCGACCUCAAGUCCCUGGCUACGGCUCUGCUGGAGACCAUCCACGAGAAGAACCUGGUCAUCCAGCACCAGAGGCACACCAACAGGAUUCUGGGAAACAGAGUUGCAGAUUUGGAAAGGAAGCUAAAGACGUUGGAGGUUUCAGGACUGUGGAGUCUUCCAGGCUUGACCUACCGCGUAUCCGUGGGAAUUGGGAGUAUGUAUUCCUUCUGCCCCACUUAGCCCAUCCAUGCCCUCCGCUAUGUCAUGCCAGGACAAAUCUGGGCAGACGCCCAGAAAGCGUGUCACCUCAUGCCCACCGUUUACAAUGUGUCGACUCCAUUGACCACCCGCUCAUGUAUCUGUUUGUGACACCAUUGACUGAAACGAGCUGCCUAGAUAUCACACACGCCUGAUCCUUUUGGUCUGGUGGAUCGGUCUUGAAUUUUACACUCAAUGGGCGUUGGGUUUGUUUUAAGGGCAGAAGAGGCCUUUUUAAGGCAACACACUCCUGUUUUCUUCAUUUUAAAAUGCGUUCAGAUUCUCACCGGUAGAAUUUGAACUGUAAGUCAUUUUCUGUUUCCCCCUCUUUUAAACAAACCUCAGCCUCAGAGCAGCAAAAAUAUAAAAACUGAACAAGAUGGCAAAAAUAAUCCCUACUGUGUCUAAAAUAGUAUCCCAGACUACAUUUUGCAGAUUUUCCAAAUGCGACCAGGAAACAAUAGUCCACCUAGAAAACAGUUCCCAGCAUUAGCCACUGGAGGGAGAUGUUGUGCCGCAUAUGAACAAGACUGCGAGGUGGAGGGGCUGCGGCUGAAUGGAGGUGCCCUGUCAUGAGACCGUCAUUCUCACCGCUAUAAAACUGACAAGCAUCCAUUACUGAAAAUGAUUGCCCACAUUACAAACACAUUUAGGGGAAUGUGCCGUUAUUAGGGAAUUUGUAGGCGAGGGCCCAGAGUGCCUGACGACCACGCUGUCCACCACAGUUAGGGAGACAGAAAUAUAUAGAGAGAUGUGAGCGUCUGUGGCCUUGAUGUUAUGUGAAGUUGGGCUGAUGGAUAUUAAAGGCAAACAGGAUAGGAUGGAGGGCCUUGGCUGCCUAUCUGAGGCCCGGAGAACACUAGAGGUGACUACGUUGUCUCCGGAUGAAAGAAAGCCGAAAACAAUAACAAUGACGUUGAUGCAGUGAGUCAGAUAAAGAUGUGAUUGAUAGAUCCCCACCAGUCUUGCAGUCCACCCUACCUCCCCCCUUGCUGAAUGAGUGCAAGCUGAAAUGUAACACAGCAAGUGAAAGCCUGUCAGUGUGCAUCAGCUAUUGAAAAGACAGAGGCGGAUACAGAAUGCACCCAUAUAGUUCUGUUUUGGUCCAGUGACAGACACUUUCCAGUUGAGAGGAAGGCAUUUCCUUGUCACCCUAGAGCUAGACAGCACCGCAUCCCAGUGUAGGGUUUAACCGUGUGAUUGUCUGACAGACAGGUCUCCUUAUUUGUGAUAGAGAGUAUAUGAUCCAGUAUGUUGGAGGAUCAUAUAACAGAGAAGGACUUGCUAUCUGUGCAGGAUGGAUGCAUAUGCAAAUACAGGAUGUUGUAUGUGCGUGUGUGUGUGAGGGGGCGAGAGACGGCUGGAUAGGCAGCUGCCAGUAAGGUUUAAAGGAAGUCGCUGGUGCCUCCUGCCUCCUCCCGAGUGCUGCCUGGCUCUUGGAGACACGCUGCUGUGCUCAACACCACCUUAUUAUUGGCUUUAAAAGGCAGUCUGCAGAACUCCUCCAAGGCUCCUCUUUAAAAACUUGAAGACUGCUCUUGGAUGAAGUCGCAGUGGAAUCCUAAAGCUGCAGGCCGGCUAUCUGAGCUUAAUCAGGAAGAUAUUUUUCCUCCAAAGAACUGCUGACUCUUUUGUCUUUUGACAGCUGUAUGAUACUACAACUUUAAGAAUCUGUUGUAUUUUUUUAUUAGUCCAGAUAGGAGAAAUGAUUCUAUAUCAUACUGUAUAUGGAGAAUUUCUCUGUACAGCUGAGAUGAUUGAUAUCUCUGGUUCUACUGGGGUCGUUGCGGGCAGUGUUGCAAGUCAAUGAGCACAACCACUUCAUCAAUAUUUAAUUCACAAGAUAUUUUAUUAAUGUCAUGUAACAUUGAUUUUUUUUGGAUUAGCCAAAAACAACAAUUGCUCUCUUGUCAUUUUACCUAUAACCAGUUUUCACUUGGAAUUUUCUGAAAAUUCACCUUUUUGUGAUUUAUUAACAGCAUAAAUUUAGAUAUACCAUGAGCUAUUAUAGCAUUACUCACACAUAAGUUAUAGUAGGUACAUUUUAAAUGAGUUACUUCAUGUCAUCACUCAAAAUUAAAUGGUAAGUUUAGGAGAAACAAAACUAAGAGUACUUGUUGAUUAGAACUAAUCACAAAGUACAGCCAAGGCUUACGUACUGAACAAAUUAAAACUUUGGAUCACCAGAGUUAUUAUAAUUCAUCUUGAGGGGGCAUGAUUGUUUGUACCAACUUUAUGACCGACUUUCCAAUCAAAACUACAAAUGUCAACCUCAUUUUGGUGCUAAAGGAAAGGGAUUCAUCAUAUAGGGACCAUGAAUGUCACAACCAGACCAACAUUGCAAACCCUAGAGCCAGUUUUUAAACAGUAGCAAGGUUUGAUGCUAAAACAAUCGGUAUGACUGAACUCACUGCCGCUGUAAAGGAAGUAAAGGAGCUUUUUAGAUAACCAGCAACUUUCUUCCCUUCACACCUCCAGUUUGCAUGUAGAGGAUCCAAACAGCUCACCCAACCUUCUCUCGCUCGCUGUUCCCACAUCAGCGUCAACGCUGAGCAUCCAUAACAAUAUGGACUGCAUCCAUAACAAUAUGGUCUCCGUUCACCAUUCAUGAUUCUCACGCAUCGUGUCACCCAGCCAUCCAUUUUCUCAUUCUUCUGUUUGUUUCUGCGCCUCACACUUGAACGGUCAGAGAAAACGGGGCCUAUUCACAGGGUUUUUUUCUGUGAAGCCAGAGGCUGAUGUGCACAUUUACAGGCUUGAGUGUAUGCAUGCGUCUAUGUGAAUACAGUUUUGUGUGUGUAUUUGCGAUGUCUCGUUUAUAGUGCAUAUGGUGUCAGCCUAAGAGGCGUGCAGCCAUCACUAAUGAAGACAGAUGACAGCGAACUGAAGCCACUUCUUGGGCACGAGACAAUAACGCGCUAAAUGAAAACCUCCAACCGGAGCUUCGUCCAACACGUGCCAUAUCUCAACCAAACAGAGCGC
Molecule: RNA transcript, 4237 nt
Organism: Larimichthys crocea (large yellow croaker)
Lineage: Eukaryota; Metazoa; Chordata; Actinopteri; Sciaenidae
Gene: ccdc149a
Gene name: coiled-coil domain containing 149a
Exons: 12
Source: RefSeq, a predicted model, not a curated record